ACUGCUCAGUAACACGUAGCUAACCUACCCUUAAGUCAAGGAUAACCUCGGGAAACUGAGGAUAAUACUUGAUAGGAGAUAUACCCUGGAAAGAUUUAUCUCUCAAACUCGCGCUUAAGGAUGGGGCUGCGGCGGAUUAGGUAGUUGGCGGGGUAAUAGCCCACCAAGCCUGUGAUCCGUAAGGGCUCUUAGCGGAGAGGCCCUGAGAGGGAAUCUGAGACACUAUUCCAGCCCUACGGGGUGCAGCAGGUAGGAAUCUUUUGCAAUGCGCGCAAGCGUGACGAAGCGAGCCAGAGUGCUUUUCAAUUGAAAAGCUUUUGCUAAAUUUAAAAAGUUUGGCGAAUAAGGACUGGGCAAGACUAGUGCCAGCCGCCGCGGUAAUACUAGCGGUCCAAGUCGCAGCCAUCAUUAUUGGGUCUAAAACAUCCGUAGCUUGCUUAAUAAGUUCCUUGUGAAAUCUUGUCUCUUAAGGGCAAGGCGUGCAAGGAAUACUGCUAAGCUAGAGACUGGAAGACGUGGAAAGUAUGUUCAAAGUAGCGGUAAAAUGUGUUAAUCUUGAGCAGACUCACAAUAGCGAAGGCAUUCCACGAGGACAGUUCUGACAGUAAAGGAUGAAGGCUAGGGGCGCAAAAUGGAUUAGAUACCCAUGUAGUCCUAGCAGUAAACACUGCACACUAAACAUUAGUACCUCUUCGAGAGGUAUUAGUGCUGUAGAGAAGUCGAAGAGUGUGCUACCUGGGAAGUAUAGCCGCAAGGCCGAAACUUAAAGGAAUUGGCGGGGGAGCA
Molecule: ribosomal RNA, 786 nt
Filed under: uncultured archaeon
Lineage: Archaea
Description: bacterial SSU rRNA
Rfam family: Archaeal small subunit ribosomal RNA
Source: RNAcentral